RNAcentral lists this ribosomal RNA (336 nucleotides) under Escherichia coli. RNAcentral's name for it is "bacterial SSU rRNA". It matches the Rfam family "Bacterial small subunit ribosomal RNA", at positions 692 to 1027 of the family's 1533-position model. Lineage: Bacteria; Pseudomonadati; Pseudomonadota; Gammaproteobacteria; Enterobacterales; Enterobacteriaceae. The record is from RNAcentral.
AGAGAUCUGGAGGAAUACCGGUGGCGAAGGCGGCCCCCUGGACGAAGACUGACGCUCAGGUGCGAAAGCGUGGGGAGCAAACAGGAUUAGAUACCCUGGUAGUCCACGCCGUAAACGAUGUCGACUUGGAGGUUGUGCCCUUGAGGCGUGGCUUCCGGAGCUAACGCGUUAAGUCGACCGCCUGGGGAGUACGGCCGCAAGGUUAAAACUCAAAUGAAUUGACGGGGGCCCGCACAAGCGGUGGAGCAUGUGGUUUAAUUCGAUGCAACGCGAAGAACCUUACCUGGUCUUGACAUCCACAGAACUUUCCAGAGAUGGAUUGGUGCCUUCGGGAAC